This 497-nucleotide ribosomal RNA is filed under the name uncultured bacterium. RNAcentral's name for it is "partial 16S ribosomal RNA". It matches the Rfam family "Bacterial small subunit ribosomal RNA", at positions 28 to 507 of the family's 1533-position model. The record is from RNAcentral.
GAUGAACGCUGGCGGCGUGCCUAAUACAUGCAAGUCGAGCGAACAGAUGAGGAGCUUGCUCCUCUGACGUUAGCGGCGGACGGGUGAGUAACACGUGGAUAACCUACCUAUAAGACUGGGAUAACUUCGGGAAACCGGAGCUAAUACCGGAUAAUAUAUUGAACCACAUGGUUCAAUAGUGAAAGACGGUUUUGCUGUCACUUAUAGAUGGAUCCGCGCCGCAUUAGCUAGUUGGUAAGGUAACGGCUUACCAAGGCAACGAUGCGUAGCCGACCUGAGAGGGUGAUCGGCCACACUGGAACUGAGACACGGUCCAGACUCCUACGGGAGGCAGCAGUAGGGAAUCUUCCGCAAUGGGCGGAAGCCUGACGGAGCAACGCCGCGUGAGUGAUGAAGGUCUUCGGAUCGUAAAACUCUGUUAUUAGGGAAGAACAAAUGUGUAAGUAACUAUGCACGUCUUGACGGUACCUAAUCAGAAAGCCACGGCUAACUACGUG